Molecule: non-coding RNA, 1342 nt
Organism: Odocoileus virginianus texanus
Lineage: Eukaryota; Metazoa; Chordata; Mammalia; Artiodactyla; Cervidae
Source: RefSeq, a predicted model, not a curated record
CUCAGAUGAACAGUGAAGGAACUCAGCCGUAUAUAUACAGGACCCCCACACUGGUCUGUGGAUCUGAUCAUCCUCUAGUCCUCUCCCUUUCCAAGAAGAUUCAGCACUGAAAGUCACCAGUCAGCUCAAGACAACUCUGUAUCUUCAAACACUAGAAUGACAAAGGGCACAAGUUAGGCACGGACUGCCAAGAAAUAGAACGCCAGCUCCACUGAGGACUUGUCAUUAUUUAUUUUAAAAGAUUCUUAACCUCUAAAAUGACAUAGAGCCAUUUUCUACUGAUUACAAGGAAUUCUUGCUAUGGAAUAAGACAUUUGUGGGGAUCUUGCAAGCCAAGUAGUAGAUCGUUUAUUAAGUCCAGAUCUUUCACCCAAGAGAGAAGCUGCUACAGUCAUUCCAUUAUUUGGGAAGGAGGAAGCCAGACUCCAGCUCAAAGCUUCCUGUGUCCUUUCAGCUACCCUACAGAAUAACGAUCUAGCCUAAACAACAAAGCCUAGCAAGACUGACAUCCAAAGCAUCUCAGAUCUGGAUACUUCUGUGGGUAUUUGGAAAGAGGGCAGUUCUCCUCUCAGCUCUACCACAGGAAAGAAGACUAGCAUUCUCAGCUAGCCCCUGGGGUGACAGUCAAUAUUCCUAACUCCACCCAACAGAUGGCACAACUUGAUCCCCUAAAAGUCGAAUGAAAAUAAUCGUACUGAUUCCAUUACCCUGCAUGUCAGUAUUGAGAAAAACAGUCAUUCCUUAGUAAGAAGCAAUGCAUCCCUCUACAGGAGAGGAGGGAGAAGAGAAGGGUAAAAUAAAACAAGACCAAACAAACCCACCACCACCAACAAUAAAUUGAGUCAAGGAUAAGUUUGCCUGAAAACCAAAGCUAGCAAAUUUCAGCCUAUCAUAUUGAGAUGUUACUGAAGAUGAUACAGAGAAAUAAAGGCACGUGUUCUGUGAGCUACAAACAUAAGAUGAUAAGGGAUCAUCUAAUUUUGCCCCGCUUAUACAAGGAUUCAUGGGAAGAGAAUCCAGGAGAUCCAAAGAUGCUCCUGGUAGAAGGUCACCUUUAGGGGUGCACACAGCCUCCUGCCCCCAGGGCUGUAGUGUCACUUAGAAGAAACCACUCCUGGACACGUUGUCCCAGCAUCUUUUCUCCAAGCUCCCCUCCAUCCAGGAGCUCCCCCUGGCCCCCAGCGGCUGGAAGAGAAGCCGCCUCUCCUUCCCAAGAGAUCAAUGCAGAGCACUCCCUGGGACAGAAGAAGAUUGUCUGAGAUUUCAAUAGUCACUGCAGAUGCAGGCAGAGAGUCGGGUGGAGGAUGAGCGAGCAGAGGUCCAAGGCGUCUGGACCUUACUG